UACGUAGGGGGCGAGCGUUGUCCGGAGUUACUGGGCGUAAAGCGCACGCAGGCGGUCUGCUAAGUUUGGAGUGACAGUUGGUGGCUUAACUGCCAAAGUGCUUCGAAAACUGACAGACUUGAGGGCUUCAGAGGGACACGGAAUUCCGGGUGGAGUGGUGAAAUGCGUAGAGAUCCGGAAGAACACCAGUGGCGAAGGCGACUCACUGGACACAUAUUGACGCUGAGGUGCGAAAGCGUGGGGAGCAAACAGG
RNAcentral lists this ribosomal RNA (253 nucleotides) under uncultured bacterium. Its description in RNAcentral is "partial 16S ribosomal RNA". It matches the Rfam family "Bacterial small subunit ribosomal RNA", at positions 524 to 776 of the family's 1533-position model. The record is from RNAcentral.